UCUUUCCGACAUCCUAUCUCAGGGUCUUCACACCAACCCUGUGAGAGAGGAAGCAUCACAAAUAAUAAAUUAUUUUUUCUGCAGAAGGGGAAACGGAACUGUGAGACAGGGAGUCCUUGCCUGAGAUUGCCUAGGAAGUAGAGUCCACAUUGAUUUACAGGUCGGAGGUCUCCUAACUGGGUUCUACUCUUCUCACCUGCGCCCGCCUCAUCUAGGCCUGUUCACGUCUCAACAGCCACGCCCCCAGACAUCAGUCUAAGUCCUAAAGCCGUCUUAGUGCACAAGCCACAUAUCCCCCGGUCUCAGACGGGCAAACGAGCGCAAAGAGUGACAACGAUGUGGCAAAGAUGGAGUUGAAAGAAGGAGAACUAGUGGAAAGUAUGUACCAGGAAUAGAUAGAUCCUGAGAUCCUGAGGCUUCCUUACUGACAUGCGGACACAUGGUGGCUGUCAGCUAGGCCCUCUGUGGGAACUAUCAGCUGGAACACAUUUACAUAGCCUCUCCCUGUGGCCUGAGCUUCCUCACAGCACAGCAGAUGGGUUUCGAAGUUGAGUAUCCCAAGAAAUAGACUGAUAGAAGCUGCAUGGCCUCUUCUCACUUAACCUUGGAAGUUACAGAGUGUAACCACAGCUCAGACAAGAAUCAAGACACAUACACAUUGGGCUUCCCUGGUGGCACAAUGGUUGAGAAUCUGUCUGCCAAUGCAGAGGACAUGGGUUCGAGCCCUGGUG
Molecule: non-coding RNA, 731 nt
Organism: Kogia breviceps (pygmy sperm whale)
Lineage: Eukaryota; Metazoa; Chordata; Mammalia; Artiodactyla; Physeteridae
Source: RefSeq, a predicted model, not a curated record